UGUUACUGUAGGAAGCACUCACUGGGCAGGGACAGAAGCUGCAUGCAGCUGCUCCAUUUUUAAGGACUGCUUCACCCACUUUGGCCAGGCCGUCUCCAGAGAAGGAGAAGAACAGCAUGUUUGACAGGUAAAGACUUGACAUCCCACUGAGCUGAGAGGAAGAUGAUUGAUUACUUGUGGUCAUCAUGGGGGAUCUCCUAUCUCCCUUCCAAACAGUUCAAUAUUUAAUCUGUGGAUUUGUAAGUUUGCCUCACUCGGGGGAAACAGAGGGGCAGGAAGGCAAGGAUUUUUUUACACUGGGAACUCAAACUUUAUCAUUGCCCUCCUGACACACCACAAGGAAAAGGGUGGUUCAGCUCUGGAUUUGUGCCUCCUUACCUGCUUGAUCUAAAUAGGCAGGGAAAUUCAGAAGUGCAGGUGAUGUUGCGCUGUCAGGGGCUGGCUGGGCACAGAGGAAUGGAGGGAGGAACUAGCUGGGGAACUGUGGCGAUCACACAGGGUCCUCGGGUGUUUAACGGUCUAUUGAUCCCUGUGCCACCACUGUGCUCGCUUCCCCACUGCCACCAACCAGUUACUCUCUGGUAAAACACUGAGUCCAGUCAGUUGUUAAAAGUGAACCAAGAAAAUAACAAACCCAAGUUGAUUUUACAAACAUUAACAAGUUUAUGGUUUCUCAGAUAAUAUUCCUGUCAGUAUCUUAACUUUAGUUUCUUUACCGGCCUAUACCUUCCUAAUACCUUCUGACUGAUUAUCUCAACUGUUUGACUGACUCCUCUUAACAAAUUUUCUCACUCUCUCACAUCAGACUAGCCCAACCCACAGACUUAUCUUCUCUGUCUCUUCUAACUCCAGACUGUCUUCUCAACAACUCUAACUCUAACUCCCUAAAAAACCUCUGUGCUUAAACCCUAUACAGUGGUACCUCAGGUUAAGUACUUAAUUCGUUCUGGAGGUCCGUUCUUAACCUGAAACUGUUCUUAACCUGAAGCACCACUUUAGCUAAUGGGGCCUCCUGCUGUCGCCGCACCGCUGCUCCACGAUUUCUGUUCUCAUCCUGAAGCAAAGUUCUUAACCCGAGGUACUAUUUCUGGGUUAGCAGAGUCUGUAACCUGAAACGUAUGUAACCUGAAGCGUAUGUGUCAGGGAACUGACAUCGGAGCUAGAGGUGGAGGGAAGGCUCUCCAAUGAUGCUGGAGAAGGGCCCAGCAGGGAGAGAGGCAGCUCAGCAGAUGGGGAAGCAAUUCAGUGCAACACCAGGAGUAAGGAGGGGCAGAUGGGGGAAUCGGCGAGAGGGCUCCCAGACUCUUCACCGGACACCAGCGGGGAGAGCACUGGUCCUCCGCUACCCACGCCCUCCCUGUGCAGAAGACUUCCGGGCAGAGAAAGUAGGAGGAGACUGGGUGUCAAACAACUUUUAUGUUGGAAAAGGUUUAAGAAACGCCCACUGAAGGAUUCUGCUAGCGACUGAGGCAGCCACGAAUUGAAGGGCUGUCCAGACAGAAAGGUUUAACAAGGCAACAUAGCCAGGAGAGGCGGCAACUUACGCACGAGCAACCCCAUACCAUUAUAGUAUGUAACCCGAGGUACCACUGUACACAGUUAACUCUGCCCCCUGGGUUCCCAUUACAGUGGUGCCUCGCAAGACGAAAUUAAUUCGUUCCGCGAGUUUUUUCGUCUAGCGAAUUUUUCGUCUUGCGAAGCACGAAAUCCCAUAGGAAUGCAUUGAAAUUCAAUUAAUGCGUUCCUAUGGUCAAAAAAAGUCCAAACAAAGCCAAAUUUGGUACAACAAGAGUUUAUUAAGUGCUCUUUAAAGUCACACAUACUGUAAAGAGCAUUUCAAAAAUUGAAGGAACAAUAAAUUCAAAAAUUGAAGGAACAAUAAAAAUCAGAAAAAUUCAGAAAAAAACCACACAAGCUUCCAGAUUCUUGCAAACCCCUCCUCAACUGUUCCCCCAGCCACCCACCACACAGAAAUUCAAACCCAGAAUUUUUUUAAAAAAACAGCAGAGCGGCCCAAUGGUCACAAAAAAUCAUAAAAAUGCAGAAAAAAAACAAGCUUUCAGAUUCUUGCAAACCCCUCCCCAACACCAAGUCCUUGAAUUCCAAACACCCCAACCCAAAAUCCAAAAACCCCAAAAAAAGUUUUAAAAGUUUAACUUACCAAAUGGCUGCAAAAGAAGUUUUGGAAAAGCUUCAAAAAUCGCCAGAGUCUUCAAAAACCUCAAAAAAGGCUACCACACUGCGUUCUAUGAGUUGCUCCUCGAAGUCAAGUCGCAACUGCACCUCUUCAAGCAAUGCACCUUGGGUUUUAACGGUUUACGAAAAAGGAAACAAACUUGCAAGACGUUUUCGUCUUGCGAAGCAGCUCAAAAACCGCAAAACCCUUUCGUCUAGCGGGUUUUUCGUCUUGUGAGGCAUUCGUCUUGCGGGGCACCACUGUAGGUAGUCAUUUUACAAUUGCUUAACCCUUUCCCUAUGAACCCAGUAUGAUGUCACACACAUAUGAGGGCAAACGCCACAGGAACAUCCCAAGGGAAGAAGGCUCAGAGCCCAGGGAGUGGUGGUGGGAUGACGAUGCGUGGUCAGAGGGAGAAGACUGCGGGGAGAAGGUUUCGGAAGCUGGACCUGAGGAGGAGAAAGUGGGCAAACAGUUCCAUCUACUGGACUGCAGUAGGCAGCUAGGGGCUGGCUGAGGCCAGACUGAGCUUGGUGGGGCAGAGCCCCAUUGCCCUAAUGGACCAGCCUCCGUUGGGUGUUGGAGACUGUGGAAGUGCAUGGGGGACGUGCGAUGUUGGCCUCACCAGCUGUCAAGCCAGAGGUACCAGACCUCCUACUCAGAAUUAUAGAACUGUCAAGUUGGAAGGGAUCUAGGCCAACUCCCUGCAAUGCAGGAAUCUCAACUAAAGCAUCCGUGACAAAUGGCUCUGGGGUGGGGGUGAGACGCACAGGAGGUUUGCGUUUUCCUUCUUCCAGCAUGUAAGGGCAACAAAUCCUGACACCUACUAUUAUUUUAUGUUUUUGUUUAUUUUAUUUUAUUUUUAAAACAAACAAAAAAAUUACAAACCUCAAAUUCAAAAUCCAUAUUCAUUUCUAACACAAGCCUAUUACAUAGAUUACCUAAAUUAAAAUAUAUCUAAUUGCUCUAGGCUUCCCUUUGCUAUAUGUAAAUACAACACAAUUAACAAAUGAUAUUAUAAAUGAUAUUAUAGGUUCCCAUAUACCCCCCACUCCCCUUCCCCCAUGUGUGAUCUCAAUAUUUUACUUCUUCCAUCUUGUUGUGUUGUUAUAAUUUAAUAAUUACUCAAUUGAUUCUGUUAUUAUUUUCUUGCUUACUCCUGCACAUUUUACACAUUCUCUAUUAAUAUUUAAAUUCUGGAACCGUGUUUUUUCAUGUAUUCCUUCACUCCAUCCCACUCUCUAAUUAUUCUCUGAUUUGAGUGGCCUCUAAUAAUUGCCGUCAAUUUUGCCAUUUCUACAAACUCACAGAGUUUGUUUUGCCGUUCUAAUAGUGAUGGGAUUUUCUCUCCCUUCCAGUUUUUUUGCAAUCAACAUUCUGGCGGCUGCUGUUGCGUAAAGGAAUACAUUUUUCUUGUCUUUGCGGAUGUUAUUGGAUAUUAGGCCUAUUUUGUUUAUUAGAUUUCCUUCUGACCCUUUACUUUAAGGUUUCAGGGCAGGUUACAAAAAUAAAAUAUACACUGGUAAAGCAAAUAAAAACAGUCCCAGCCAUAAAACGAGAGAAGUGUAAAAACAAUUAAAAUCAGUUCCAUAUAUACAUAGCUCAUUUGGUAGAGCACAGGACUCUAAAUCUCAUGAUCAUGGGUUUGAGCAGGGGUUUGGACUACUAUAGGGGGUUGGACUACUGUAGAUGAGCCUUGGAAUCCUUUCCAACUAAUCUAUGAUUCUAUGAAAACAAUUUAAAACAGUCCCAGUACAGAUGCAGUCUGGGAUUGAAAUUUCCACUUGAAAAGCUGGCUGAAAGAGGAAGGACAACGGAGACAGCAUUGGUCUAAUAUGCAAUGAGAGGGAGUCGAAAGAGUAGGCGCUGCCACAUUAAAGGCCUGAUUCCUAUAUCCUGCUGUAUGGACCACCUGAUAAGAAGGUUCCUGAUUUCUGCAGAAGGCCCUUUCUGGCAGGGCUACGUGAUUGACUGGGUAUGUAAUGCAGGCUUGGUAUAACACUGGCUUAGUAUAAUAUACUAAGACAGGGAUGUCAUACCGGUGGCUCUCCAGGCCAGCUGUAGCUGACAAAAGUUGGAAUCCAACAAUAUCUGGAGGGCCACAGGUCCCCCAUCCCUUUGUGAACUGCAGCCAACAUUCUUCUGCCGAAAGAGAAAAUGUCAGGGGAUUGCAGGAAGGUAUGUAACAUUGCUUGAGGCUGUCUAACCCUUUUUUAUGAAUCAUUCUUCUUCUGACCUGCUGGAAAGUGUGGCACACAGAUUAUUUUGUAAACCUAUGAAUGCAGGAUAUCUAUCAUCUAUCUAUCUGUCUAUCUAUCAUCUAUCUAUCUGUCUAUCUAUCAUCUAUCUAUCUAUCAUCUAUCUAUCUAUAUCUAUCUAUCUAUCAUCUAUCUAUCUAUCUAUCUAUCUAUCUAUCUAUCUAUCUAUCUAUCAUCUAUCUAUCUAACAUAUAUAGCAAACACUCUAUCCACACUCAAUAAAAAUAUAAAGGCAGUGAUCCUAUGCACACUUUCUUGGGCAAAAGCUCCAUCCAAUUCAGUGCAAUUUACUUCUUAGGAAAGAUGGUGAUAUAUAACGAAUGCACAUCUUUAUGAAAUCUAAGGAAAUGCACUGUUGCCUUAAGUCCACUUGGUGGCACCAAAGGAUUUUGUUGAACAUCUUCAUUCACCCACUUCGAAAUGUUUACUGGUCACGGUAUGUUUUCCUUUGGCAUAUAAAAACACGAUUAUGGCAAAACACACUGUAUUAUUAUUUUUUCUGACGCAAGGAACAAGUGAUAGGGGCGACACACACGUCUUGCCAAACAUAUUAAUCACAGCAUGAUCCAGAUAAUACUGGCAAAAACAAUGCAAUGAACUUGUGUCAAGGGAAUGUCUUCACCCACAUUAAUGCUUAAUGUGUAUGGUUUUACUAAAUAAGGAUGGAAACAACAACCGCGUUUAUAUCCAUGUACCCUGAAGGAAUUACAGAUAACCUAAUUUAUUUAUCUCAUUAUUACCAAGGUGAUGCUUACUAUCUUGGGAAGAAUGAAGUCCUAUUUUAGGAUAUUCAUGAACCACUUAGCUUACAUUAUUCCUAACACACACACACACACACACACACACACACGGCGUAAUGUAAGCUGAGUGGUUAAUAUACAUAACAACCUGCCAUUGCACACAAUCACCAGGUUUCACUGAAAACGUGCAUGUAAUGUGUCCAUGAAGAUGAACUUGUGCACAUUUCCUGGUCCAUACACAUAAUCUCCAACAAGCCUUGGGAGUCAUGCAAAUCUCAAUUGCAUUUUGUACAUUCCCCAGACCCCCAAAAUAUGUUUUCUGGAGCAGACAAGCUUAAUUCCCUCUAGCGUUUUCAAAAGGAAAGGAAAAGGAAAAGGGAAAAAAUGGGAGAGAAAAAUGCAAACACUUUGUUCCUGUCCCACACAAAUCUUCAUGGUUUAGGAGGUGGUUUCGCCUUCCCAGGCAGGCAGGUUUGGUCUGUCUAUUAUAUGUGUACACCUUUAUGAAUCCUGCAUAUGUAUAAUAAAUUGGAUAACCAAGCCAAACCAAGCUGUGGAACCUGAUUGUGUCCUCAGGAUUCCCCAGUAAACAAAGCAAACAAUAGACUUGCUCAUCGUCCUAAAAACAGAUGGUUGAAUAUUUAAUGGAUAGUUGUUAACAUCCUUGAAGUCUUUUGAUGGAAGGCAGAAAUAAGUUGCUUUAAAACAAUGGAGAAAAUAAUAAUGAUGCCAUAGGGAAAUACCUGAAAUUUCAGAGUUCAUGAAUCCAUCACAGCUAAUUCCUACCUGACGGAUCUUGUGCCUCUCAGUGACCUUUUUAUUGAGCAUUCAUCCUGAUUUGUUUGCUCAAAGGUUAUAUGACUUCCCAUCAACGGAUUAUAAUUCCAUGCUUCCUAGUACAUUUCUCCAUCACUUCCCUUACCACAAAAAGUCUGAUUUACUGGCACGUGAUUGAAUCUCUUCUGCAAAAUAGUGUAAGUUUGAAAGGGGAAAAGGAUUAUUUGUGGCAGGGAAAAAGGAUUAUUUUCCGAUUAGGAGAAGGAAAGAGACAGAGAGAGCACCGAGUUAAGUCUUUAAAUUAGGCCAUGUGGCUUUUAGAAAUAGGCAGGUCAAAUGGUGCCAUAAACCACAUACAAGGAGCAGUUUCACAAAGAAUUAUCAAGAGAAAUUGGCAAAGAUUCGCAAGGUGGUAAUUAAAUUUCCACCAGAGAGUGACUUGCAGAUCAUUAAACUCUGUAUAGCUAUCAAGACUGCUGAAAGCUUUUCCAAGUGACAGGUAAGGAAGGGGCUUCUCAGCAGGGACCAAAAGAAAGAAGGAUCAUGUUCCAGAAAAAAUACAGGUCAAGGGAGGAAAGGGGAAAACAACAAGUGCUCGUGGUUUCAAGGAAAGAAGCUGUCUUCUCAGGACGGAAUGACCCUCAUUCUAAAGCCUACUGGGCAUUACUGCCAAAUCAAUACUAAAGCGGUUUGCUUGAUGAGAGAGUGAAGAUUUAUUUGCUCUGGAAAGCACAGAGCCUUUUACAUCCCCAUGAACAGAAAGCCUGCCUGUCCCAUGCAAAAAGAUUUAAAAGGAAUAUCCAGGUAAUUUUCAGCUGCACACCCUUAUUCUAGAUAUGUGCAUAGCUUUGAUGGUGGGGGAGCCAUCCACUGCUUUUAAAAUUGCAAUCCUAUGGCAAAGGCUCACGCAAAGUGAAGACAGCCACAAUGGCACUGAGGCAGUUGGCUCCGGAUUUCUGUUUAAAAUGGUUUAAAAGACAGAAUCUUGUGGUACUUUAAAGACUAACUGCUUUCUUAUGGCAUUCAGUUUCAUGGACUGCACUCUAUCAAAUGUAUCCAUGGAAGCUUAUGUUGUAAGAAAUGUGUUCAGUGUCUAAGGUAUCCAAGCCUUGCUUGCUUUUCUUGCUUUUCCUUCCCUUCCUUUCCUUCUCUCUCUCUCUCCCUUUUUUUCUGCAGCAGACUACACCUCUGGACAUUUCUUAAAUGAUUGUUUUAUUCAUUUUUAUUUAACAUUUCCCAUCUUGCUUUGGACUAGGGUUUACCCUGCUUUUGCUGCGAUUGUUAGCGAUGAAUGAGCCCCCACCUGGGUGCCCCUCCGCCACCUGAGUGUUCCCACUGAAUGCUUUAAAAGCCUAAAUGAUUUUUCCAGCAUUCAGUAGGAAUGCUUGAAAAGUUCAAAAGGCUCAGGAGCUUCUCUCUAUACGUUUCCUCUGCACGUUUCCUCUUAGGGGAGCGAGUUAUUACAGGCAGUGAGGUCCAAAAUCCUCUGGAACUUGGUAUUGCCUCUGCUUCCCCCCACUGGCUGUAGGAUGAAUGGCAAUGCAGGAAGCUCGUGAUGCGACACAAAAAUGGGGUGAAAAAGAGCAGGCCUUGACCUGGUGCUGUGAGAUGGCAGGGGCUUGAAACAGAAAUUCCUCCUCCGCUAGUUCAAAAAUGCCUAGUCCAGGCUUCCUCGACCUCAGCCCUCCAGAUGUUUUGAGACUACAAUUCUCAUCAUCCCUGACGACUGGUUCUGCUAGCUAGGGAUCAUGGGAGUUGUAGGCCAAAAACAUAUGGAGGGCCGAGGUUGAGGAAGCCUGGCCUAGACCAUUCCAAGAUAGGUCUAGAUCCCUUGGAGCUUGUAUUGUCUCUGCCUCAAAGUGGUAAAAAUUCUUCUUGAACCAGGGGAGGAGUCUGCCUUUCAAGCUAAACUUCUCCCAUUUUGAGUCCUAUACCAUCUGUAGCUGUGCUGUCCCUUUCAUGUCUAUUUUUGUGUCACCAUCCACUGAUGGUGGCUGUAGUCAGUUGGGUUGAUAGGGUUGCUCAACAGCAUUCUGAAUCUGCUCACAGCGACACUGCAAUGCAGUGGUUAUGACAACCCGUUAUUCCGAUAUGAUACACUUACCGUAGCUAACACAGAGGGAUGUGGGUGGGAUUUUUAAUCAAGCUAUGUGUAGCACAGAGAUAAAAGGUUGCUGCCUUCUUUGACCCAUAUGCUGAAUCCUGACCACAGCCAAAUGGACAGAACUCCAAUAACCUGAGAUGCAACAGACAAGAGCAGAAAGAUUUGUAGUUCAGCCAGUUUAGAUGAACAGGAUUCAGCUGGCUUAAAUCCCAGAUCCUCUCCCAUAAAUAUGCCAUGUAUUGAUCUGUAAUCCAUAUUUCCUGCCGCUUCUUUGGCACAGCAAUAAUACAUGCAAUGUGAAGGGUAACUAUGAGCCUUAAUGAGACAGAGCAAAUAUAAUUUAUAGUAGUGAGAUAGAUAAACUGGACACAAUUCUCUUCGAGCUUGUAAGGACUAGAGUUGAAAUUUGUGCAACUAUCUGUCUUGUCCCACCACGCUCUUACCUGAAAUGUCCUUCCUGCUCCAAUUUCAAAUGAAAGUUUUGUGUGUGUGCCAACUCUUGAAAAGUUAUUCUGAAUAUCUACAGUUUUUUUCUAUGGUGUUUUCUUUUGAAGCACUGAAUCUGGAAGUCAGGAGACCAGACAAGAUUAAAUUGGAGCACGUCCAAAUGAAUGACUUAUCACAAGGCACUUUCUUAUUAUUCCGCAGAACACCAGUUUUAGCAAUUCAUAUUCCUUGCUAUUUCACAAGGGUUCAGAGGAAGGUGGGUAACGUAUACGUUGCAUUUCCCUUCCCUCCCCAUGCCCCCUAUGGAUUUUAGUGGCCAUUAACUAUCUGGACUGUGCUGAAUAUUCUUAACAACAACAACAAAAUGUUAUUGCUAGUUUAGGUGAUGAGAAAUGAUUCUCAUUUUGAGGGUCUAGAAAACCUUGAAAAUGUUCUCGCGUGAAGAUAUAGGUCAACAAGCAAGGUUAAUUGACAGCAAAUAAAUGUCGAUAAACACACAGGAGUGCGGAAGGAGUUACAGCUGGAUGGUAGAUCACACAUUUUUCAACAUCCUAUGUCCAGUCUAUAUAAUGGGUCUAGCUUAUGGGGUCUCCAAUACAGUGCCCAUAGGCACCAUUAAGUUUAUCCUCCCCCACAGUGCUUGCCAAAGUUCCCUGCCCCUCACAAUUCUUAAUUAUUAUUAUUUUUUGGCUGUUGGAGCAAGUGGGGGGAGGGAACCUACUUUUUCUGGCUGUUAUUUUAUUUGGGAGAACCCAUGACCAUUUAAAGUGUUAUCAUUGUAUUUUAAAAGUAUAGUGUGCAUGUGGCCAUACACAACCCUCUCUAUCCUCUGCCCAAGUUAGCAAGAGGGAGUGUCAAGAGAUCAAGGCCACAUUUCAGCCUGGCAAAAAACAGGUGUGAAGUAGGCACAGUGAUAGCUGUGGUCUAGAUUGAGUUCCAAGGGCCAGAUAGAGGUGUCUGGAUGGAGGGCCACAUUCAAAAAUAAGAAUAGCCUGCUGAAUCACCCCUUUUGUGAUUUAUCCUAUGCCGCUAACAAACUCCUUUUAUAGGAAUGUUUGCACUGCAUAUCCUUCCCACCUGGAGACAAAGUGUAUCACUUUGACCUUGGCUUAUGCAUGAAUCUUAUUUCAGCAAUACUGUAUACAUAAUAUCAGUGGUUUGCAGUCACAGUUGUUUCCUGCAAUCAACGUGGUUCCUCAUUACCAUAACUGAUAAACAUCAAUCAUGUUUUGCCGGAAAGCCAUCACUUCUUUCCAGUUCUCUGGCUGUCCAUUCCAGUUCAGUUUCUCAGUGACCACAAGUGUAACCUAAUUACCAGUUUCAUCACUUAGCUUGACCUGCAGCAGCAUAAACAGUACUUUGUGUUGCUGGGGCUAAAAUGUAUCCUGUAUUACUUUUGGGUCAAGCCAUUCACAUCCUUAUUAUCCUGAACAUGCCUGGUGCAUACAUGGAAGCAAUCAGCUGUCUUCUCUUUGCCAGUGCCAGAGCAGAUGACAAUCCUUCGCAGGCAUAGCAAUAAGAUUACACAUACUAUGACAUUUUGCCUGCUGCUACCUAGGACUUGCUGAUCAGAAGGUCGGCGGUUCGAAUCCCCGCGAUGGGGUGAGCUCCCGUUGCUUGGUCCCAGCUCCUGCCAACCUAGCAGUUUGAAAGCACGUCAAAGUGCAAGUAGAUAAAUAGGUACCGCUCUGGCAGGAAGGUAAACGGUGUUUCCAUGCGCUGCUCUGGUUCGCCAGAAGUGGCUUAGUCAUGCUGGCCACAUGACCCGGAAGCUGUACGCUGGUUCCCUCGGCCAGUAAAGCGAGAUGAGCGCCGCAACCCCAGAGUCGGUCAUGACUGGACUUAAUGGUCAGGGGUCCCUUUACCUUACUACAUUGACACUGGGGGCUUGUCCCUUCACUCCAGCAUUGGGACCUGAGAAUCCCAGCCUAUGCACUGCUGCUUCAGUUUAACAGCUCAUUUAUUUAUUUUCUUACAUUGACAAUCCCACCUUUCUUCCCCCAUGGAACAUAAGGCAGUGUAUAUGUGGCUUCCGGACCUACAUAGCUUCAGAAAGAUAGUUGUUUCAUAUACCUCCAAACCAUACUCCUGGUCAUGGCAUGCAGAAAGGUACACUAUGGCAUCUUUUCCAUUAUAAGAUGCAGGCUCAGUGCCACCUUGAACUAGAAUUGUAAAACUGGGUAAGAGGCCAUCCAUGCUUGCUUCUGUUCAUCUGUGUAUCAGCCAACUCAAGACUGAAGAUUUGCUUUUUCGAAGUAAUUGGCAGUGUAAAUUCCAACAUGCCCUUUCCCUGCCACCACUGUGGAUUGGUUCAUCUUGGUCAAGUCUCUGGGAUCUCCAAUUAAAUAUCUCCAAUCUCUGAGGCUGUUCAAUAUCUCCAUCUCAGGCUUUGGGGGGGUUGAUGCUGUCAAUCUGAGUUGUUGGCAUUGGCACCAAUCUGGGCAGGGCUUGGGGGUGGGGGUGACAUUCAAGGCUCCACUCAGCAGAUUGAGCAUCCUCUCCCAAAUGCAAUUUGCCACACUUUGAAGUGAGUGAGGUGACAGACAUCACCUCUGAAAGAGGCCCCGCCCCAAUAAGACCAUUAAAACCAGAGGCUAUCUGCAGCACUGGUUGGUGGCACUGGACUAGAAUGAACCAAUAGUCUAUGACUAUGCAAGCCAGCUCCUUUCAACUAUAUGUGCAUACACUUUGCACAUUUUAAAUUGUACAACCAUUUUCUAACUUAAGGCAUUUGAAAAGGCAUUUUGCCUAUCGACGAGGUUAAAAAGGGGACUGCUGUGAAAGUUAGAACUGGGCAACCUAUCCUUUCCUGACUGCAAAUAUGUUUCAUUGAGCAAUGCUGCUCUUUGCAGGUAUACGAGGGCAAAAUGAGAAAAGGAUAUUGUCAAUACAUCACAACCCCUUACGUUUACUGAAGUGAACAGCUCGUGUGUGCAUAGUAUACUAAAAAAUGGGCAAUGACUGCAAGGUUGCUAGAGAAUAAUAAGAUAUAUGGAAAAAAGACUCACGGAUGGAAGUCUUGUGUAUGCCAUUGAGUAUAUAUUUAUUCACCUCUUUUAUUCUUGAUUAUUUCUGAGCAUGCAGAAAUAUGAUGGCAAAACUAGCUCACCACUCAUCCCUGCUCCUGAUAGAACUGUCAGCAUCUUAAAAUCUUGGAAAACAGAUUGAAUCCCUGCUUCAGAAUCCAGAUGCUCAGCAGUCCCUAUAAAUCAGGAAUGGGGAAUUUGAGACCUAGAAGCUGAAGGCAGCCUUCCAGAUCUAUCUGGCCCUUGGGAAUCUUCCUAGGUCAUGUCCCCCUCUCCAGGCCACACCCCUCACUGACAUUGUUCCACAUCCUCCUUUAGCCUGGCUGGAAUGUGUCCUUGAAUUCUGAUAGUGUGAAGGGAAAAAGGUUCCCCAUGCCUGUUAUAAAAGCAAGAAGUUGAGUCUGCUGGCAGGCUGGUCAAUAGCGCACACCUCUUCUUGUGCCUUUAUUGUUUUCCCUUCUCUUUGUGCUGCCUUCCUUUCCCAACCUUACAUAGGAGCCAACUCCUAGAGGCUAAGGUCCCCUCACCUCUCAUAAAAUAUUUGAGGGGGCAACCCUCCUCCCCAACUUGAUGGGCCUUGCCAUUCGAAUGGUGUGUGUGCCAUGUCUUGUGAUCAAUUAUGUGGGGUGGGGCUUACCUCCCCCUCCCCAAUAUUUUAUUCAAGUUGGCACUCCUGAAACCCUAUUUGACUUGACUUCUGUUUGGUCCUCCCUGCCACCUUGCUGCCUGUCCUCAUCAAAGUUUUCCUGGUCACAAUCCUGCUCAAACUUAUCUCCUUUCCUUCAUCCUGCUUUGAUCCCAUGUCCUAUCUUGCUCCCUGAUACAGGAUUAGGAAGGGUUCUGUAACACAGGUGAAGACCGUGGGAGAACCACAGCCCCACUUUGUUACCUACAGAUACAAGCUUGGUUGUUUGCUAAUGACUGGUGCGUGGAGGACUCUUCUAAGUGAAAUGAAUACCAGAGAAUGGGAUGGAGGGGCUGGGCUGCUCCUACGCUGCUCCUGCCUGAAACAUCUUGUUUGUAUUGGGAGGUUUCCAUGUCCCUUGGAACUCAUGCAAUUCAGUGCAUCCUGGGAGAAUUUAUUUUCCCAGGCUACAGCUACAGACCCUGAUGUUGGGAAAGAUGGAGGGCACAAGGAGAAGGGGACGACAGAGGACGAGAUGGUUGGACAGUGUUCUCGAAGCUACAAACAUGAGUCUGACCAAACUGCGGGAGGCAGUGGAAGACAGAAGUGCCUGGCAUGCUCUGGUCCAUGGGGUCACAAAGAGUCGGACACGACUAAACGACUAAACAACAACAACAACACAACUACUGACUACUCAUAGAAAUGGGCAAAUUCUUCAUUGGACAUUGUGGAGAAAUGAUGUUAGCCAAACAACCAGUCAUUUUUGGCUGGUGGCCCUUCUCCAUGAUAUACAAGGCUGAUCUCACUUGCCCACUUAAGCCAUCAGUGAUUAGACUCUGGCUCAUAUUCUUUUUAAAUGGCAUAUUUUUUGUCAUUCUCAACUUUAAGAAUUGUAUUUAUUUUAGGGAAGAAAUUUGGCAGCUCACGUGACUGUGGUCCGUAGCUCAGCAAAAAGUGCCAAGUUCAGUAGCUGGUGGUGGAAAGACCUCUGCAUGAGAGUCACUACCAGAGUAGACAAUAUUGGAUUAGAUAGUCUGGGCUUCUAUUUUUUAAAUGCUUUAAAUCUGGCAAGAGUCCUGAAGUUGUGCUCCUUUUCAUUAGAUCUGGCUGCUUUCAGAGCAAAUGAACUAGUUUUUGACCUUUCCCAAAGUUACCUGCGUGCGUAUGCAAAUGACUGGUGCUAUUUUAGAAACAUGCUUAGAUGUAUAUGCCUAAUGAUAAAGUAUUGCUUCUGAAGAUGAAGCAUUUGUACUUUGCGCCCUCUUCCGUUCUCCAUGUGAUUAAAUUCUCUCAUCAGAAUGAAAGCCGUUUAUCAUCCUCAAUGUACAGAUAAUAUGAUGAUUGAUGGCUUUGCAUCCAACUGUAUAAUAUGCAAAUAUAGCCUUCUGCUUCCUCUUUGGCAAAGCCCUGUGUGCUUCUUCCCAUUCAUUUCCUAAUCCCCUUAAACACGAAUGUGAUAUGUGCGUUGUGGAAUGUGAUCACCACAGGGAUUCUGACCUCCCCCUGACCCCCAUCCUAAAGAAAAAUACUCAGGAUUUAAUAGCUAUUAAGCUUCCUGAAAGGUAGCAUUACCAGAUUAGGUUUAUGCACCAACUUUAGAAAUGCAAUUAUUUCACUUUCUAAGUGCUAUCUGAUGGUAAACAUUGUCUUCAUUUAUAGCUGACUCCUUGAAAAUAAUAAAGACACAGCUGUUGUCAUCUGAGCCUUAUAGAAGAGAGAAACUGCAGAUAAUGAAAAAUGUUGAUAAUGAAUUUUUGUUUCCAGGGAAUUAAAAUCCCAGAAUCACUCAGCUGCUGAUGUAAAUAAAUCAGGAUUGCACAACCUGUGAUCUAGCAACCUGAACAAAGUCCACCAGCCAGGUGACAUGAUUAGCAGAUAAUUGAUAUGCCCUCUAUGGCAUAGUCCCAAUAGGCACGAUAACAGCACUUUAUCACAUCCCUAGUGGUGCUUCCAAGUUCUGCAGACCUGGAUUUUUUUAAACUUUUAAUUUAAAAAAGGCAGGGUAUAUAAGGCAACAUAAAGGUUUUGCACACUAAUACAUCCAGCGCACACCCAAAAGGUUCAAAGCAAUAUGUAUUGGAAAAAUAACACGCCUCUUGACCAUGUGACACUUCGUCAGAGGAGACCAUUUCAAAACAAUGUCCUGUUUGCUGGGCUUGUGAAUGAACAAAGUGACAAAGAUAAUUCCUGUUGGAAGAAGAGUCUUAUUUUUUAUGCAUAUCGCUCCACUAAAUAUCAGUCUGCACUAUUUCGGAUUUCAGCAUCACCUGUUAUGCAAUGCCACUUUUUUUUUUACAGCCAUCUUGCAGAAAUAGUGAAAUUGCUGCAAAAUGACACACCUGAGGCUCUAGACAAAUAUAACUGGCUAAGCAGAGUGGAAUAUUGUACAGAUCAUCCAACUAAUUAAUAUAGCAUGGGCAAGAGGAGACUGUCAAUACUAACAGAUUCAAGGACAAUUGGAAAUCAUUUAUUUGGUUUGGGAUUUCAUCCAGAGUUAAGUAAUUCAAUAGAUUUAUUGUCAGCUACCUAAGAAACAAGCUUAGGUUCCUUUUUGUGUGUGAGUUAACUGUAUCCUGAUUUUGUGCAAUAAAAGUAUUCAAAACAAAAUUAAUCUAGGGAUUCACCUUUAUAUAUAUGCAGUCCUCUUUUUUUUUUUUUACCACCUUCAAUUCUUUUGUCAGUCUCCGUUCCGAACGUCUGUUAGAGAGCUGCCACAAAUUUAGCCUUGAAAGGCUGACAUUUAGCCUUUCCUCAGCUUUAGUCAAUCAACACUAUUCCCUGUCUGAACUUUUGAGCACACUUUGCAAAAAUAGUUGGAUAGUGUCAGUCAGAUCAGCGUUUUGAGAUUGACUGUUCCUUUUCCCUCUAGAAGCGAAACGCUGUGGCAAGUGCAACUGUUUUGCCUGCUUGUCUGAUAGCCUUUCCAUCACGGGCUCUGCAGGGGGGGAAACCUUAACACUGUCAGAUAAUGCCUGUGUGAGGAAAUUUCUGCCACCUCUGGAGAAAAUACCUGCCAACGACUAGGUCCAGCCCAAGGUUCAAUAAGUAAAAAGACAACUAAAGCACAAUAAUGAAAAGAAGAGAACUCAGUUUUGACUGUCUUGGAGGGGAUUGGCCAGAAGUCAUCACUCUAUGUGCCAAUCAGUGUCUCAGCUGGCGGUCGCUUGGUGUCUGAAUUGUUCAGAUAAAUCUCCUUGACAGACUGGGAUACGUUUGUACAGCCUGGUGUGUCUUCGGUCAACAUUUCUAGUUAGCCUAAGUUCUGGAAAUGUGUUUCCACCGGUGACAUGUCAGGAAAUGGCAAAAUAUUGUCGGGCCUUUUGGAAAUAGGAGAAGGCAAAGAUUAUACAUUCUCCGAGCGGUCGGGCUAUUUAUGUUAACAGUGGAGACAAACACACUAAGCUACAUAACAGCUUAUUUAUGUUAAGAAAUAAUAAAGCGGCUACUUAUUCACCGCACACAAAACACCUGAGGGAAUAUUUUGUUUCCUUAAGAAAAAUGCCACCACAUAUUUAUAGCGACUCUUUAAAAUAAGUCAAUUUAUUCAGAACAACUCUGUGGAAUUGGAACAAGGGAAAUUCUUUACACAUUCACACAUUCAGUCUUUGCGUGUCUCUAGGUGGGUGUUUAUUGAGGGACGAGAGGCUCCACAUGAUGCAUGCAGGUGGUCUGUAGAGGCCACACAAUGUCAGCUUCAAAAUGCCAGAGCCAUUUAAUCCAGAUUUACCAGAACAAACAAAAAACCAAGCCACUGUUUUCAAUGACCUGGUUGCAGUAUCUCAACAACCCAUUAGCAAAUUAAGUUCCUGUCUUAAAGCACUGUUUGGCUCAUUUCCAGGUCUAGUGGUUAGUGUUGGAUUAGGAACUGGGAGACCAGGGUUCAAAUCCCCGCUUAGUCAUGGGACUCACUGGGUGACCAUGUCACAGUCUCUCAGCCUAACUUACCUCACAGGGUUGUGGCGAGAACAAAAUUGGGAGGAAGUGUUCCAUGAAAGCUAUAUUGAGCUCCUUGGAGGAAAAGUAGGAAAUAAAUGCUAUAGAUAGGUAGAUAGAUAAUAUCCUCCAGUUGUCCCCGUUCACCCGGGAUAGACCCUCUUUUUGCUACCUGUCCGUUUUUGUUUUCUUUCAAAUGACUUGUUAAAAUUUUGAUCGUGUACAUUUCUACUUUUGACUUUCUUAAGGAUUCAAGCUUGUACUCCAGGUCUAAACUACAUAGAUAUAUUUCUGAGGAAUAGGGUGAGGAAAAGCAUCAUCAUCAUCAUCAUCAUCCUUCCACCCUUCAUCCAAAGAUCACAGGGCAGUUUGCAUCAUAAAAAUAUAAGUUUCUUCUUGCUUCUAAAGCACAUGCAUGCAAUUUCAGACGUGUGAACAUUCAAGUUGCCAUGUAGGAUGCAGCCUAAAUUUCUAAACCAGCGGAGGACAAGCUACUAUUGCAGAGUACAUUAAUAUAGUAUAGCAAAAUAACAGGAUAGAGUUUUCAGCAAAGUGCCAGGGGGACAGCAGGCUUGAGUAGUGUUCAUUUGUAUUAGAUAAGGGAUAUUAUCUCCCUGAAGAAGCUAGGUUGGCUCCCUCCUUGUUGUCUUUUCGCUGGCAGUUCUUGCGAACUGACUGCUUUAAUGAAAGGGCUGGUGCUGUUUUUAUUUUAACCAUUUGCAUGUUUAAAACAGAUUUUAUUUACAGUCAGCUCCCUAUUUAUGUGCGUUCAAUAUGUGUGUGACUGAGUAUGUGUGCAUCACACUAAACCCUUAAGUGACCCGAAAAACAUCACAAAAGGGGUGGAAUGGGGCAGGGGUGGAACGAGGUCUUUGCAGGCUUUUUCAAUGGUGUUACAAAUGUACAUGAUUUCAUUUAAACGUGCGGUGCCUUGGAAUGUAACCCCUGCAUAAAUUGGGAGUUGCCUGUAUGUAUAUUGUUCUAAUUCUAUUAAUGUUUAAUUGUUUUUUAAGUAUUGUUUUUUUCUUUUUCUAUGCUUUUAGCCAUUAUUGUUUUGAUCCAUAAGCCACCUUGAGUCCCAUCAGAGAAAAAGGCAGGGUACAAAUAAAAAAAACUAAUAAUAAUAAUAAUAAUAAGCACAUCCACAUUUUCAUCUGCGAAAGGUGCAUCACUCUUAUUUUCCAUUCACUAUGAGCUGUGCAAAUCUUCAUUUCUCUCUCUCUCCCCCAAAGGCUAUGUGUGAAAAUCAUUAAGAAACCAAACUUUCCAGAGAAUAUUCAAAGCAUGUGUCCUCUGAUAAUACCACCUCUAUUUUUAUAUGCGUCAAUUUCUACGAUAUUCUGCAUGUUCACUGCAGACAUGCUCUCACUAAGGGCCUGUUUUCCAGGGGUCACAUUCACUCAUUCUACGUGCAUGUGAAUUUUUUAAAGACAAUUGUGCCUUGAGUAGAGCAUAUGCCAGUACCACAAUUUGUGUGGUAGGAAAGCAGAUGCUUUGCAAUGUGUGCAAUACGUGAUGCUGGUUUGGAGUUCUUCUGUGCCAGGCUGCCAUUGGUUUCUCCAGGCAAGUUUGCAUCAAAACAUCUGGUUUGGUCCUAAAGCAACAAACCAAAUGGAGGGGGCAGCUGUUGUGAGCAGAAAUGCUAUAACUUUCAGAACAAAAUUGUUUUGGGAAUAUGUGCAAAAGUGGGCUUGCUUAAAAGGAUGGGUUUCCCAGACAUAAGACUUGUCAGUGUGCUUAUCAGAGGCAGGGAAGUCCUCAGGCAGACAUGGUACUACACAGAGCAAUGUUUCUUUGAAAGUUGCAUCCAUGCAAAAAAUAAAAAAAUAGCAAUGUUCAUGUCUUUCUCUGAUAUUUCUAGCUUUUUUACCUGGGGUGCAAGUUCCACAUGACAUUGUUUGGAGAGAGAAAAAUCUUUCCCCAUAUGAAAACUAGGCAGUGGAGUCUCCAGCCAGAGAAACAGACAAGCAGCAGAUUUGGACAGGGUGGCUGUCAGAAAUUGCUACCUGUAGGCAUCUCCCACCUAGACCAGUAAAGAUUUUCAGGCUGCGAUAGACUGCAAAAUGACAAGAUGCAUUUGAGUCAGACGGAAAGUCAGGAAUGAAUACCUGUCAGGAUCUCACACCUGGACCCCUGAUCUCCCUUCUGAUCCAAGAUAGCAAAAACUGACACAUAGCAUUACUGGAGAGACCGGCAGAUUGAAAUCACUACCUGUCACUUUUUCCCACCAGAAGAAAUAAAAUGUUCUCUUGCUCAGUAGUUACAAAUUGUAGAAUGUCCGUCUGAACCAGACACACAACAAUCAAUGGAACAGCUAAGGGAGGUCGUAGGAACUGUUGCCAACUCACCCCUGGAUCUUUGAAUCAGACCUCAGAUGAACAGGCAGGUAAUGUCAGUCAGAGAACCACUUGCCUGCUUUGACAUUUUGUGGUUCACAUAGUGAGGCCCCUUUCCAUUUUGGUUGUCUGUGUUUCUAGGUAUUUUACAACCACAUCAUAACAGUCAACACCUGCAACGUUAUUAUAUAAACAACUGUAUUAUCCAUCAUUAAUACAAUGUUAUGAACAUGAGGGGCAGAGGAAUAACACCCCCAACCAAAGAAAUUAAUGAGUGUCAGAAUCUAGAUAAUAGCUGGGAUAUCGAAGGGAAAAUACAAUCUGUAGAGGAAUUCCUGGGUUAGCCUAUGCAAACUGAUCGGCUAGCUUAAGUGCAGAGCCAGUAAUAAACAACGGAGUGCCAUUAAAGGGAGGUUGCCAAGGUGAUGGGGGGGCGUGAUGUCAGAGGAAAAUUUGUACUUCUUGAAAAUCUAAGGAUGUACUGAGAGGAAGAAGGAUAACAAAGGGCAGACCUUCAUGAGCUGCUGGUCAGGCCAGACCUCCAUGCUGGAGGCUGGAGGAGGCUGCACCAAGAGCCAUGACUGACUGCUGCUUUAGACCUAAGCUUGCUGAAGCUAAGAGAGGGGCAACGAGAGACACUCUUCUGUGCCCCUUCUUACUGUAGACUUUCAGGUGUAAAUAUGUGUUAAUAACCCAUAUUUCUUCAAGACACUAGCCUCUGCUGUGCCUUGCCUGGAACCCCUGGAAUCUCGCUCUGCUCGUUGAUAUUGCGAUGGCAUGUUAGAAUAAAUAAAAAUCCAAAACUAUGCUUGUCUGAGUAAAAGUGUCUUAAGAUAUUACAAGAACUGAAACAUCGCCUUUCUGGAUCAAAGUCUAUCUAAUCAAAUUCUCUGUCUGACAUGGGCAGCCAGAUGCUACUUGAAGAUACCAGCAUCUGGUAUUCAAAGGUAAACUGGCUCUCAAUAUGGAGAUUCAAUUUAGUUAACAUUUCAAUAGCUGCUGUGUGGCCCUAUCUGUCAUGAAUGCAUCUAAUCUUCACAAAGUAAGGUUUCACAUUUGCCUCCACUAUGAGGCAAUCUUGCGCAUGGACAGGAUGCAACAAUGCUGCAAAUGAUGGAAUAAUUUGAGGGAGCCUCUUUUGAACUGGUUGGUGGGAUACAAAGCUAUCUAAUUGCAUGAGUUGGGGUAAUGAAAUAAUAAUAAUAUCAGAAAGGCUGUGAGAAGAAUGUAGCACAUGAAGAGCCUCUGGAGAAGCCCUCACUUUUUAAUAUGCUCAUUAGAUAUAUGCCUGUGUAACUGUAUCUUACCCUGCCUUUGUGAUGUCUUCUGUAUGAGAGUAUUGCUUUGUUUUAAAUGGUUGCCCACUAGCAAUGAGUAAAAACAGCUUGAACCAAGAGGCAAAGCGAGUGCAUCUCCCGGGUUCAGACUUAGGGUUGUUUUGAGAUAAGCAGCACCCUGUCGUUGCCAAGAGGAAGCUAAUCAUUAUGCAAAACUACUCUAGAUGUAAGCCCCAUCUUUAUCAGUCUAUCGGAAGGGAAGCUAAAAUCCAUUUGCUCUCCCGAAACUCUGAAUGUUUUAGAAACAGUUUCUGCUGGGAAGCUACAAUCAACCCUUGCAGCUCAGCUUUGAAUAAUAUCCCGUGCUCCUUUUCCAGAGCAUUAACUGGAAAAACUGUUGCCCCCAAGCUUUCGUUUUGCAGAGAGACAGCACCAGCAGCAUAGCUGCAGCAGGAACAACAGAGCCUUCAGCUCAAUGGGGGAUUGACCGCUACAAUUCCAUCUGUGAGUAAUGCCUGCUACUGGAUUAUUAUUAUUUUUUUAAAACAUGUUUUCCACUUGCAAAGAAGCAUGUAUAAAUAGCCAUUCUACCCCUCAAAAUACACAGAAGCAGUAAGUGCAAAUGGAUUAGGCCACCAGUUCUACACAUUUCAGAAGGAAAUUUCAGAUUGAAACAUUUUCACAAUGGGCACGGUUCCCUUUUCUCCAUCUGCAGAAGAUGUUAAGAUGCAUUCCAACUCCCUGCCUCUACCCCUGCCCAGGUGAGAGCAUCUCCAGAGUUUCUGAACAGGUGAAGAUUCCCAGAAGUGAUUUCCUUGGCACUGCUGAUCCCAGUGGCUUGGUGGCGUAAUAGCCAAGCAUUCUGCAGGGGAUUAAAGAAGCAGGUUUUUGCAUAGGGUAGGUCUUGGGCCAUAGCUACAAUGCAACACAGAGAUUCUAUGCUGAAAGGAACAAUAUUUUAAAGUGGUUGGGGUUGGCCGCAUGGCGGUGGAGACCAGGCUACGGGGACAAACCUUUGAGUACCUUCUUACACAACAGUUUUGGUGUGCUAUCUGGGAAGUGUAAGUGUAGAGAGGAAGCAAAAAAUGUUUCACCUGCCCAAAAUCUUCUCUCAAAAUGCCAAAAUGGCAUUCAAUAUAAGGCUGGCCUAGGAGUAAUACUGUAGCCAGUCUCAAAUAACUGAACAUUCCUAUUUUGCAUGGGAUUGCAUCCCAAGGAUCAGGAUCGCAGCUUGGAUCAGGAGUGCCUCUAAUGGGUCUUCUCACGGAUUAUAAUUAUUAGUUUGAAGUUAUGGCCCUGAGUACAUCUUAUUAGCUUCAAUUGAUAUGCCAGCUGCACUGCUUCCUGGAAAUAAUGUUGUGAUUUCCCUGAUAUCCUCCCAACUCUAUUACUGACUCGACAAAUACUGUGGAGCUCCAACACCCAACAGGCUCGGUCAGCAUGAUCAAUGGUCAGCAAUGGUGGGAGUUUGAGCUCAGUAACAUCAGGAGGGGCACAGCUUAGCCAACCAUGCUGCAAAUGCUAACAGACGGGGCUGCCACUGAAGGCCGUUUAGAAGCUUGAGUUGGCAGCAAGACUGAUGUUGACCACAGAGAAGGAGCAGCAUCAACUUUACAAAGCUUCUCCUGGUUUACUAGGUUGUUUCAGGGCUAAAUCCAUAGAACACGUUCAAUAUUUGAAGCACAAUCUGUCCAGGGCUCAGAAUAUCCACUAGUCUUCCUGUCCGGCAUCCCUUCUCCUCUCAGUAAGCAGCAGUAAUACUUGGGGAUCAGGAAGCCAGGAACACCCUCUGGCCUGCACUGCACCCCCCGCUGGCACCCUUAUCAUUUUUUCCCAUGUUUAUUUUAAGGCUGUGUUUUACAGUUUGGCUAAUUUAACAAUCUAUGACAUUUAAACUGUGUGUAAGGGUUAAUACUGUCACUAUGUUAUGUAUUUUUGUGUUUUUAUAUAGUCAACUGCCCUGUGAUCCUCAGAUGAAGAGUGAAUAAUAAUAAUAAUAAUAGUUGUUGUUGUAGUAGUAGUAAUAAGCUGCCCUAAAUGCUAUUUAUUAAGUGAAAUGCCAGGAUACAACAACAAUUUAUUAUUUACACCCCACCCAUUUGGCUGGGUUUCCCCAACCACUCUGGGGAAUUGUGUGAAAUAAAUUUCAGCAAGUCCUGUCUGUUAUUAUACUGGCAUUUCAUAUUUAGCGUGUUCUGAAUGUUAUUUGGUGGUAUUUUUGUAGUUAUUACUGAUGUUGAUUAUCAUUUCAUCUAAGCUUUGAAUUUUGAAUUUUACAGCUAUUUUAUUGCUGCUUCCCACUUGUGUAAGUUGUAAAAAUGGAAAAGUGGUUUGCAACAUUGCAAAUAAAUAAGCAAAUGUUUUUAAAAGAUGAAUUAGGUACAGAGGGCAUGUUUCAGCCUGCAGAGCUCCUUUUCUCCUUGCCUCACCUCAAACAGAGAACUGUAGAUAGACAUGUCACAAUUUUUCCUGUCAUUUUUCCAAGCCUGAUUAAUGAGAAGGAACAGAUGUCCAAGUCUAUAUCUAUCGUAGCAGGGAGCUCCCUUUGAGAUUUAUCCGUGUGUUAAGAAUAAGCCUUCCUUGUGCCAGAGAGCCGGAAUUAGAGAAGAUAGACUUUUUAAAAAACUGAACUGUCCACCAUCAUGUGUGCAGAAAACUCCAUGAGAGAGCUACAGACAUAAUGCAGAAACUGCCUGAAAAUGUAAAUUUGCUAACAUUGUGAAGAUUUCAAAAGUCAGAUUAGAAAAGAUUCUGUUCGAAAGACUGGGGAGUGGUACGUCCAUCCCCUGCAUGCUGUCCUAUCUAAUUUGUCUCCAUUUAUAUUUCUAUGUUUUUAUUUUAUUUUGUGGACUGCUGUGGUGCUGGAAACAGGUGAGGAGUGGCAGAUGGAGAUACCUAAUAUUUGACCAAACAAACUCAGCAUAUAUAAAUAUAUUGAGCCAACUACCCAAGAAAAUGAUUGCCAGCAAAUACUUAUAUUUCAAAUCUGUGUUGCAUCUUUUUGGAAAAAAAACUCCUAUAAAAUUUUAGUGGGUGAGACCCAAAGUAGCAGUCUGCUAGUGCAACCGCCACGCUGCUGCCUUGGUCUGCCUGUGGUCCCCUCUUCUGGUGGAUUAAUUCAGCUCAUAACUCACAAUAAGAAUGGCAUUUAAAACUCCUAAUAAUCUUCAACUCCAUUGCUAUGCCAAUUCAAAACAAAGUGGGCUGCUGACACAUACAUGAUAGAAGCAGACUCUUAUACAAUCUCCUUUUACAGUACUUUUAUUUGUACUUGUUUAACAAAUGCUCAAUACUUUGCCUUCUUUUCAAUUGCUUUUCCAUGUGUUUUUAUGCCCUCCCUUUUUAGAAGUACCAAUGCAAUUGGUUAAUAAAAUAACAAACAUUUAGUGCAUUAACAUAGUUGGGAAAUAAGUGGACAGUCCUCAUUAAUUCAUGUGGUUUUCACAAUUACAUUAAUCAUAAUGAAGUAAUUCACGUCAUACUUAUGUGAAUGUGAUAUAUAAUUUAUGGGAAUUGCUUGGUAAUUUUGCAAUUAAAAUACAAUUAUAUUAAAAUGUUACCUACCAUCUAAUUUCUUUUUUUAAAGCAUUAUUUAUGACAUUUUAGCAUUAAUUAUAGAGGGAUUAGCAACAUUCUUAGUUCGAAAACACCAUGUAAGCAGAAAUACUUGCACAAUGAAAUGCUAAUUAGUUUCUAGGGAACAGCAUUCAGUGAGACAAAUACUCUGGAAAGUAACUGUCGGUAUUGAAGCAGAUGGAAGAAACUAAAUCACGCAAGUAAAACAUCAGAUAUUUCAUUUGCACACCUGUCUGAGAAGUUGUUCUCCAUUGUGUGGGGAAGGAACACUAUACAGAUUACAUGAAUCGAGCCCAAGAAGCCCAGAAGGCAAAACUUUCAGAUGUCUUACUUCUGAGUGUAUUUUGGGUCAGCAUUUGAAGACAUACUGGCCCAUUCCCAAGUUUCUCCUUGUAGUGCUCUGUUACCAUUACACUCGAUAACAGCUGUCUAUACAAAUAGCAGUUUCCCAGCAUUCUUCCUCUUUGUCACUCUGUUCCUAACAUAAGAUCCUAUCACAUUCCCAAAACUGAAUCACACUACAGUAGUAGCUUGGUUUUCAAACGAACCCAUUGAUGAAUGUUUUGGUUUCUGAAUUCUGUAAACCUGGAAGUAAAUGCUUCAGUUUUCGAACGCGCCUCCGAAGUUGAACAUGAAACGCGGCUUUCGUAUUGAGUUCUCCAUUUUGAGUCUUCAGUACUGAGUUUUCGGUUUUCGAACAUUUCAGAACUUGAAUGGUUUUCCAGAAUGAAUUAUAUUUGAAAACUGAUUUCCUGUUAGAAUUCCUGCUCCAUGAUUGCAGUCAUGGGAUUGUUGUCUUUCACAUGACGGUGUAUGUUUUGACUCCACAAAAUGAGAAGUGACGGAGAAAGGAUGUUUGUGUUACAGUGUUCCACGAAGUGGGACUAUUGUCCUUUGUUCUUUCUCUUUGCUGUCUGAUGCUAGAGAGAGGGAGCCAUGUUGCAGUGCUCCAUGUAUGUUUAUAUGUAAAUAAAGUAGAUUAGCCAAAAUGCUGAGUUGCUGAGCACUGUUACGCAAGCUGCAAAGACUCUGCGGAUCCCUAAGUGUGCCGAUGUCUGUAGGCAUUGGUCGCUGUGAUGUUCGGGCAGAAGAAAGCUUUUCAAGCUCCCAAACGAACGACCAGGAGGGAGGGAACAUGCCAGACAGGCAUGUGUCCCAGCCAGGGUCCUACUUGAGAGUAGGAUGAGCUCCUAACAGGUACCACUGUCUAGUAUGGUUAAGAAGCAAGGUCUACCCAGGCAGACUUAACUGAAGGGAUGGAGCUACAUAAGUAUUAUUUGGCUUAGUUCUUAAUGGCACUUUUAGUCCUUUGGAACAAAGUAAAUGAGCUGCAAUCUCGGACAUGGUUCAGAAGCCAAAACUCUUGGGAUCCCUGGUCAGUUUGGCACCCAUCCUAAGGAUGUGUCUUUACUUUUUCCACUAUCGGCAGAUGUGAUUGCCAGAAGCUACUUUAUACAGAGCCCGACCACUGGUCCAUCUAGUUCACUACUGUCAACAUUGACUGACAGCAACUCUCCAGGGUUUAAGACAGGAGUCCUUCCUAGUCCUAGCUGGAGGUACCAGCCACCCACUUCCCAUUAUCUAAUACCUGAGUCCCACGUGGGGCAAAAUAUUUCCGAUGACCUUCGUGGUCCCUUCCAACUCUAAUUCUAUGAUGCUGUUAAGCAGAGAUGGUUGGGGCUGAACUUGGGACCUUUUGCAUGCUUAGAAUGUGCUCUGCUGCAAAACUAUGGGCCCCCACACAGCUGCUUCUUAUGCACGUGAAAGAUAUUGUAACAUGUAAUAAACUUUGCCAAGGUGGUUGGCUUAAACUUUUAUCGGUGGCUACACUGGGUGUUUUCCCUGACUCUCCCAAAGCAAUUAUCCUCUCAGCUAUGGAUACAACAGUAUUCAAAGAAUAUUUCCACCAUAUCAGAGAAUCUGUGAACAAAUUAUUCUGAAGCCUUUGUGCUGAUAACUAACAAAUAAAACUGAAUUCCAAAGCACAACCUGGAGAACAAAUCAGCUGAAAGAAAUGUAAGAUUGUGAUCAACGCCUUUUCAAACGAAGCAAUGUUCUCCCACACAGAAUGUCAAAGAGAUCACCAAACAACUGUUGCUCAUUGUGAAACAUGAAUUGUUAACUAAUGCUGCACAAUCAGAACCCUGCUUUGUUCCGUAUAAGGCUUGCAGUCACGAUCAUCAAUGCUAUAGCAAUACAAUGCGAAUGAGUUUUCCCUGUGCCGCAAAUAUAAUAAAGCCUUAAUAAAGGCAUAAAGAUGUGGAAAUGUGUAAAAGCGGCAGACAUUUGAAAUAAGUAAUUUCUUAUCUCAGCUGCACAAAUGUAGGAUUUCUUACAAAUACAACAGGCAGCUGUGAGGACAAAAGACUGGGAACAGGUAGGCACUGUGCAUCUUUGGCAAAGCUUUGCACAAAGUGAACAAGAGCAUGGUCAUGCAUCCAAUGCUCUGGAAGCCUUCGGACCAUUUGCUGUUUCAAAGAGCAGCAGGAAGAAAGCACUCUGAGCAAUUUGCCCAAUGUCACAGCGCCUGAAUACAAAAGCUACAGAGUGACAUAAAUUCAAGUGCCUUGGAAAAAAAGACACGUUUUAUUGGCUUUACUAUGAAUGCAGCUUUGAGUAAUGAUAGGUGAGACUCAAUUCAGACAUUACAAAGGUGGGGGCGAAAUCCACAUUGGGGUCCCAGGAUCAAGCCCAUCCCUCCUCGGGAGCAUGAGUGUUCUCCCACAUCCAUGCGCCAGACACGAGUGAGGUGUACACAGACAGCGGUUGCUGAGGAUCAGGGUUUGUUGACAUUUACCCUACCACCCUAGGUGCUCCACUAAAGUAGCCUGCUUGUAAAACUAAUUGCUUGUUGAACUAAUGUGAGAUCCACAUUAAACCAUACGGGUACAACGGUUGUAUUAGCACAAGUACCAUCUGAACAAUGCCAUAGUAGAUAGCGCAUGCAGUGGCUGUCAGGAGUCACCUAAGUAUAUUUUUGAUAUUAAGUCUAAUUAAGUCCUACUCAGAGUAGACCCCCUUAAAACUAAGUUAGCUAGGCCUAUGAAUUUCAAUGGUUCUACUGGCAUUGCUUUUAUAUUCCCCCCCUUUCAUUAUUUUUCUGAGUGAAAUUAGCGUUUAACAUAGAGAAUGGAUAUAAUGUAAAAACACAGAUAAAGACACAUUUUCUGUGUUUUUAGGUUAUAUGUACUCUCUCUCUCAUAACCCCCUAAUUCACUGUCACAAGAAGUGGUGAUGGGCAGUAGCUCAGAUGGUUUUUAAAAAGUGAUUAGACGAAUUCCUAGAGAUAGUUCCUUACUGGUUACUAACUGAUAGCCACUAGCUACAAUGGCUUAAUGAAAUCUGCAUUUUAAUACCACUUGUUGGAGCACAAUAGUACAGUAUAUUUAUUUAUUGCUUCCCAUGAGGCAACCCAAAGUGAUUUGCAAUAUAAUAGCAUACUGUAUAUGAAACAUUCACACAAACUUAAAACAAUCACAUGUAUAAAAACAUUUUUUAAAAUAAAUAUAAAUAUAAAAACAGUUUAAAACAGCAGUACAUACAUAAAAUCAACUCAAGUUCAAGACAGAUACCUACUGAGAUGAACUGAGAGCUUGUUGAAGGAACAACAACAACAACAACAAUUUAUUACUUAUACCUCACCCAUCUGGCCAGGCCUCCCCAGCCACUCUGGGCGGCUUCCAACAGAAUAUUAAAAACAUGAUAAAACAUCAACUGUAUUCAGCAUGUGCCAAACCAGCAGCAACAAUGGGGAAGGUGCCUGUCCAUCUCUACCACUUACCACUUCGGGGUAUCUCAGGGUUGAUAACAUGUGAAAAUUGCUUAGAACACCAAACGCUUUUGUAAGGGAACUGACAUCGGAGUGAGAGGCGAAGGGGAGGCUCCUAGAUGAUGCUGGUGAAGGACCCAGCAGCAGGGGGAGAAACAGCUCAGUGGAGGGGGAAGCAAAUCAGCGCAACACCAGGGAUAAAGGGGGGCAGAUGGGGAAUCGGAGAGAGGGCUCCAGGACUCUUCACUGGACCUCAGUGAGGAGGGGACAGGUCCUCCGCUACCCACGCCCUCCCUGCGCAGAAGACUCCCGCGCAGUGAGAGGAGGAGGAGACUGGGUGUCAAACAACUUUUAUGUUGGAAGAGGUUCAAGAAACGCCCACUGAUGGAUUCUGCCAGCAACUGAGGCAGCCACGAUGAGAAAGGGCUGUGCAGUCAGAAAGGUUUAACAAGGCAAAUUAGCCUAGAGAGGCACCAGUUUACGCACGAGUAACUCAUACCCUACGCUACAGCUUUAAAUAUUUAAAUGGAAAACCUGGAGCCCCAAGAAAAGUAAAAUCUUUUUUCUUUCCUGCCCACACCGCUGCUGUGUGCGGAUGGUGACUAUUUCCCAAGCAACUGCUACAAUAAAUAAAGCCCAUAAGUGGCGUGACAGGCAGCCUUUUUCUCCCUCCAGCCUGGCAAAUAGCUGCUUGGCAUGCUUUAAAUAUGAGUCCUGCAGAGUAACAGCUUUUAGUAUGAAGGGAAAAAUGCUGAGCAGCAGUCAAUUUCCAGACUAAAUGAGACAUAAAGGUCAUGAGGAGGAAUGGGAAAAUAGUAAAGCUGCUUUUACCUAAAUAAAUAAAGAUCUGAAUCAGCCAUAAUCAAGGGAUGCAUUGUGCAGCAGCUGUACAGUUGCAUUAAGUGGUUCCUCCAAGAACUACUCCAGAAAACUAUUUCGUUGAACCCUAAUGGCAGCCAUUAUGUUAUCCUAAUUAUGUUUUUCCCUCAACCCCCUCCUCCCCCUUUUAAAAAAAGUACAUAUCUGCAUUUAACAUAAAAUAGUAUAUUGAAAACUUGCCUCAACUCAGAGGUGGCCUCGUCCCCUGCAGCAUAUGGGGAAAUGACAUUAUUAAGUAUAAUGGCUGGGUUACAGAUUCAGCUAGAAAAACAUGCCUAAAUUUUAAGAAAGACAAUUGUGAGCUGUUACCAUAAGAAACAGCUGGAGAAUGCACCAUCCAGUUACUUUUCUGAAUUUCGUGCCACUUUCAACGUUGUUAAUGCCUGAAUGACAUGGGCGUGUGUGGCAGUAGGCUUGGAUUUUGUCCGACUAACUUAAUUAGGAGUGACACCUCAAUCCUAAAUGCAAACCCAAGCUAGACAUUAGCUGGGGCAUCAGGCAAACUCCGUAUUCAAAUUCAAGUUCAAAGUUAGUGUUAAUCCUGCUGGUAUCUAAGAUGGGAUGUUUAGAUUUCAGACAGUUUUAUAUUAAGCAUCUUUCUUUGAAGCAAUUUUCAAUGGUAUUCAGGAGAAAUUUAGUGGACACAGAUCAUUUCACCAGUCCAAGGAUCUCUAUUUUCCUCAUUAUGAAAGUAAAUUAUAUGGCUAAGCUUCUCUGGCUAAUCGCUGAAGAACUCAGUGGAAUUAGCAUAUUCACAACCAUAAUUCUGCUUCUGACUUCUACCAACUUUGGAAUAUUAGAAGCGCAUAUGAUGUACUAUGAUGACGCACAUCCUGCCCCCCUCUCUCCUUGUCUGGCAUGAUUGGGAAAAAUCCAUAUCUUGGUUUCAACUAACCACAGUUUAUCACUGCAGUCAAACCAAGCCAAACUAUGCUUAAACUAUGGUUUGUUUAAAUUAGCCAGGAUCUUUCCAUCAACAGUGGAAAGUUGAUAAUGUUCUGUUAAAUAUAAUGACCUCCACUUUCAUAUUUUAAAUUGCUCUUAAUCUGUAUAUUGUGAUAUUGCUUUAAGGUUUUUUUAAAUUAAAGAUUUAAAAAAUUAAACUAUUAAGUCACCUUGGGGCCCUUUCUGAGCCAAAAGUUGACUCAUGUUUGGUCUUCAGAUCUUAGAUGCUACUGAGUACACAUUCUGCUAUGAAUUUCCUUAUGGAGAUAAGAAAUCUGCAGCUCUUAGAAACAAAACACCACUGCAGAUAAAAUAAUAAAUGCAUUAAUUUGGGGUCCACUUCCCCUUGCCUUCUAAGUACAGAGGUACCUCAGGUUAAGUACUUAAUUUGUUCCAGAGGUCUGUUCUUAACCUGAAGCACCACUUUAGCUAAUGGGGCCUCCUGCUGCUGCUGCCACCGGAGCACGAUUUCUGUUCUCAUCCUGAAGCAAAGUUCUUAACCUGAAGCACUAUUUCUGGGUGAGCGGAGUGUGUAACCUGAAGUGUAUGUAACCUGAAGCGUAUGUAACCCGAGGUACCACUGUACUGUGUUUUAGGCUGCUACGUGGUCAAGCUUAUCCUUGCUAUCAUGAGGGCUGAAGAUGACUACCAUUUCAACAGUUGCCCAAGGGUUAAGCACAACCGUGUGGGGAGAGCAGGCAGUCCCCUAGCUCGUAUAUUGCCUGGGCCUGACCCAUCACAUCAGUGUGAAAGUCGCUAAUAUAUAUCUGCGCACAUUGCUACAUAAAGUGAUAUAGAACUGCAGUGUCGUUUCAUGAAAUAUUUCCGUUCAUGCAUAAUUCUAUUCCAGCAAGCACCCCAUUGACGUCAAUGAGACUUUGCAUAGCUAGAUUAAAGAGCUGCCUUCAGCUGACUCCGGUGGGCUCUGGGUCUAGCAAUCUGUAUUUGUAUUCCUUGCUAUAUUGCAUGCAAUUUCAGAGGGAAUAAGCAUGAAAUUACAAUAAAAAUAUGACGCUGCAGAUUCCUGAACUUCGGCACCCUUCCAAUUAAUUGAAUGUGAGUUGUAACAGAAAGAAGCUCUUCAAAUUUAAGCUCUGUGCCAAGUAUAGCUGCUUCAUGAGCAUGGUUUUAAGUCCUCUUCCAACACCGUGGCUAUUAAUUUAGUUAACGUUCUAUCAUUAUAAAACCAGGCCACUUUUGAGGCUUUCUAAUAAUGAACUAAGUGAAAUUCUUUGCUAGUUUUCAACUGGGGUGGUAAUAGUGGCAAAUGGCCUGAAUAAAAUAUUUAAAUAGAUACAGAUAUAUAGACAGAUUUUCUGUAGUGAGUCAUAUCAACAGGAUAUAUCAUACUGCUUCUGGCAUUGUUAGUGCUUUCCGCCCCAAAGCAUUUUACAAACUCAAAAGUAACAUUUCUGAAUAAUUCUAAAGACUACGUGAUAGCAAAUGCCGGUAUGAAACAAAAUCCCUAACACUGUCUAUGUAACCUAGACUGUGAAUAUAUUUUCUUACUGAUAGUAGUAUGACAAUGAACCUAAGGUGUUCUUAAAAAAGAGCAGAGUCAGAAUUCAAAAAGCUGUAUAAAGGACAGAAUCUGUCCUGCCUUUCAUUUCAGCUAUUAUUUGAAGUUGGCUUGUUUGGAAACUAUUCAUAACUAGUGUUCAACCACAAUUCCUGGUCUGGAUUAAAUUGUGAGCCACAGAUAACUAAAAACAGAAGUGGAAGCUUGACGGGAAGAGAAGAAGCAGGGAGGAGGGAGCUAAGUUUGUUCCCAUAGUAUUGAGCAAUGGUUAAGUAUUAUGUCUAAAUGUGGCCAUACAAUACAACAAUGCAACUAGAUAGCAGAGCACUUUCAUUUCACUUGAGAGGCUGUAUUUGUGUUGACAACAUCUCCAGAAUGGCGAGAAGCUUACAAUAAUUCUGAAAAAUACCUUCUGAGGCUAUGAAAGGAAUAGCCUAAUUAUAAAGCACUUCAUCUUUAGUGAAGGUAUUUCCAAAAUAAUGGAUUAAAACCCAUAUACUGAGGCUAUAGCCCUAUACAUACAUACUUACCUGUUAAGUCCCAUUGAAAUAAGUGGGGCUUACCUCUGAAGAGACAUGAACAUGAUUCAGCUGCUGUGGGAGGGAUAUUGCCUACUACUUGUGCCCUUCCAUAAAAUGCCAUUGUUGAAAAGGAGAAGAUCUAAUAGGAGCCGAGUCUUCUUACAUAAAACAAACCAAACAAAACACAAAUGUGUGUCUUGUUCUCAAAGAUGGACAGAUAAUUUUUCAAAGAGCAUUCUUUCCCACAAGAGGUGGUCCUUGCCAGUGAGCAAGAUGCCAAGUCUGCCUAAAACUACUGAUGCCCAGUAUUGCUAUCACUCUUUUACGCGCCUUUCAGCCAAGCCAGAUGAAAACAAAAGCAGUAGCUUGGGAACACAAAAAGACACAGCCUAUUUCUUUUAAAGCAAAACACUUACCAGCUGGUUGCAGGGGGGGGGGACAGGAAUGGGGGGAAGACUUGAAAAUAUAGCUGAUAUAUGACAGGGCUGGGUGGGUACCAGGUGUCAUAGAACUGAAUCCAGGUAAAGCUGAACCAAACCUUAGGGCAAGGUGCAGCACCCAUCAUCCUUCACUACUGGCCAAGAUGGCUGUGACUGAUGGGAACGGGAGUCCAAAAACGCCUGGAGGGUCACAGGUUUCUCACUCUGGGACUGAUUUACUGUCCCUGAUCUUUCAUCCUUGUACCACCAUAAAAUACUGCUGUCCUAGUUUUACUGGGCUGUUUUGCCAUUUCAAAAGGGGCACUGUCUCAUGUGUUUCCGGGCAGCCUUCUAGUCAAAUGCUCUUUCCCUGCCAAAUCUCAUUUUUCAAACACAAUGCCAUGCCCCCUCUAGGGCAUACACACAUGCAAUUCAGUUUCUCAGCUCAGCCCUAAAUUUCUCCCUUCCCAAAACCCAGAGGCAUUUAAAGUGGGAAAUCAGCUGGCCAGACCAGUGCCAUAUCAUUAACAACAGACCACCCAACAGCCUGCUGUGAGAGAUGUGUGGAGCACUUUGAGGGCAAAUCACUUGAAUCCACGACAAACUUGAUGCCACAAUUAGUUUGGGCCUGUUGGAGGUCCUUGUAGCACCAUUAACUUAGAACCUGUGGAUCCCUUUCAGUUGUGGAAGCCUGAAGCUUUCAGUGGUGGGACUGACUACAAGCGCUUCUUGAAGAGGUCUUCCCUGCAUCCAAAGAUUUGAGAGAACUAUCAUCCAGUCUCUAAUAUUCCCUUCCUGGGCAAGGAGACUGAGAAGGUGGUGGCCAUCCAGCUACCGGUACGCCUGGCGGAAUCAGAUUCUCUGGAUCAGCCUUUCUCAGCCUUGGAUCACCAGAAGUUGUUGGACCACAACUCCCAUCGUUCCUAGUUAGCAGGACCAGUGAUCAGGGAUGAUGGGAAUUGUAGUCCAACAACAUCUGGGGACUAAAAAGUUGAGAAAGGCUUCUCUAGACCCAUUUCAGUCUGGUUUCAGGCCCAGUUUUAGAACAAAAAUAGCCCUGGUCACCAUGACUGAUGACUUUUAUCAGGAUAGGCAGGGGAAGUAUGACUGUUGGUUCUUCUUCAUCUCUCAGUGGCUUAUGGGGUAUGAUAAAUUGGAUGCACUGUAUGUGAAGGUGUGGUUAUACAGGAAAGUUCAGGGUCAUUAUCAGAUAGUAGCAAAGGGUAAAAGGACCCCUGACUCUGGGGUUGCGGCACUCAUCUUGCUUUAUUGGCCAAGGGAUCCGGCAUACAGCUUCCGGGUCAUGUGGCCAGCAUGACUAAGUCGCUUCUGGCGAACCAGAGCAGCGCACGGAAACGCCAUUUACCUUCCUGCCAGAGCGAUACCUAUUUAUCUACUUGCACUUUGACGUGCUUUUGAACUGCUAGGUUGGCAGGAGCAGGGACUGAGCAAUGGGAGCUCACUCCGCUGCAGGGAUUCAAACCGCCAACCUUCCUAUCAGCAAGCCCUAGGCUCAGUGGUUUAGACCACAGCGCCACCCAUGUCACCAGAAAGUAGUACUAGGAGACAAAUGUACUAUGUGGCUUUGAGCUGGUGGGUCCCAGAAGGGUCCAUUUUGUCUCCUAUGCUUUUCAACUUCUAUGCGAAGCAAUUGCAAGCUUACUUUUAAAUCCUUUAUUAGGCAUAGCACACCACACAGUAACAAACAAACAUCAUAUACAGACUGUAUAAAAUACGGGCUCAGCGAACACAAUUUAUCCCAGUCCUAUUCUUAACUCCAAGAAAUAAAUCGAUGUACAUAGAUAAUAUAAUACAACAACACAGCAACAUCACCUACCAUUAAAAACCACUAAGUCUCUUUAUCAUGGCCCAUUCUUUCUUCAUGGACAGCACUUAAAAAUUCAGCCACUAUUAUAGUGGUUUGAUCAUCGCUGUCCGCCAGCAGGUCCUGAACAGUUGGUUGAGUAAAAAUCUGUCUAUUAACUUUUAGGGCCUCAAAUAAUUGUUUUCUGGCAUAACUACCAAAAUCACAGGAAAAGAAUAUAUGCUCUAGAGUAUCGCAAGCUGUCACCUGUGGUUUGGAGCCCAGUGUUAUUGGUAUGCUGAUGAUGCACAGCUCUAGCUGUCCGUUCCAUCUGAAUCAGGAAAGACUCUGGAGAUGUUGGACUGCUAGAAGCAGUGGUGGGCUGAAUAAAGUGAACCCUGACAGCAAACAUAUUCUCUGGGUGGGCUGUUCCUGUGUCUAGAAUUAGGUGGCAGGUGCUCUGUAUGGGGAGUUGGCAUAAGGCACCAGGCCCAUUGGCAGACCAACUCUGCAUUACAAAAGUGUCUGCAAAUGUGACAUGAAGGCUGGCAGCAACAUCAGUCCCGCCAUGUGGGAAUCCCUUGCAGAUCAGCCGCAGUGCCUGGAGACAGACAGUCAGGCUGUUUAUCCAUAGCAGCGACCAGAGAAGAAUGACCACUGGGAAGAGUGCAGAAAGUAGAAAUGUCCUGGUGCAUCUGCAGCUGCACAACCAGAAGCCUUCAUCUGCCCCAGCUGCAACAAAACAUGCCUCUCCCGUAUCGUUCUCUACAGCCAUAGCAGGUGCUGUAACCUUCCAACAGUUUGAUUUCACCCCCAAAGGCACACUCCUCCAUUAUCUCCAGAGAAAGAUGGAUGCCUUCUAUCUAUCUAUCUAUCUAUCUAUCUAUCUAUCUAUCUAUCUCUAUACAGUGGUAAAGGUAAAGGUACCCCUAACCAUUAGGGUCCAGUCACGGACGACUUUGGGGUUGCACAUUCAUCUUGCUCUAUAGGCCGAGGGAGCCGGCGUUUGUCCACAGACAGCUUCCAGGUCAUGUGGCCAGCAUGACUAAGCCGCUUCUGGUGAACCAGAGCAGUGCACAGAAACACUGUUUACCUUCCCGCCAGAGCGGUACCUAUUUAUCUACUUGCACUUUGACGUGCUUUCGAACUGCUAGGUUGGCAGGAGCUGGGACUGAACAAUGGGAGCUCACCCCGUCAUGGGGAUUUGAACCACCGGCCUUCUAAUCGGCAAGCCCUAGGCUCUGUGGUUUACACCACAGUGCCACCCGCGUCCCUAUACAGUGGUACCUCGGGUUAAUAACUUAAUUCAUUCUGGAGGUCCGUUCUUAACCUGAAACCAUUCUUAACCUGAGGUACCACUUUAGCUAAUGGGGGCCUCCUACCGUGCUGCCACCGUGCGAUUUCUGUUCUCAUCCUGAAGCAAAGUUCUUAACCCAAGGUACUAUUUCUGGGUUAGCGGAGUCUGUAAACUGAAGUGUCUGUAGCCUGAAGCAACUGUAACCUAUAUCUUCUGCAUAAUGCCCCAUUUUUUUCAUUUGUUUAAAUCACCUUUUCACUGCUCAUGGGUUCAUUCAUCUUCUCCAGCAACUGAUAAAACUACUUUCCCUUCCAUCUUAUUUUUAAGUGCAAACCUAAAGUACUAAAUAUUUUAUUUUGUUUUGUAAUUAGUUUCAUAUAUAUAUAUAUAUAUCUACAUCUAUGAAUAGAAAUGGAAAUAUCAGGCUUCUUUCCCUGCAGCAAUCCCAUGUCCAUUAAAUACACAGCCCCCUGCUCUCCUUCAUUAUGCUUACAUAGUUAUUCAUGGAGGCAGGAUAGAAGGUAUAGCCAAAUAACAGUGGGUGGAAUGUCAUUCCCGUCAUUUUUCAACAAAAACUGUCUGUGUAUAUUUGUUUCUCAGAUUGAAGGCAGCACAAGACCUGUUAAAAUUUCUCCAAAUCAGCUGUUUCACGGGGGGGGGGGGAAUUGCAGGCUUGGAUUCAUGAAAUGUUCUGGAUGUAUCAGUAACAGAGUUGGAAUAUAUAGGAUUAAUAAAUCAAAUGCACACCAAGAUUGGGUUGUGCAUGGGUCUCAUAGGACUGAUGACUCAGUAUCUUAACUAUUUUUAGCACCAUUUAUUUGGCAGUUAAUUGUCAUUUCUGGAACACGGUCUGCAAGUAUUUUCAUGUUUUGCUUACAAAAAAUAUUCAGCAGGUAGUUCAUCCCAAUGCUGUGCAAGGAUUGCAUGCCAUGGGCUAAACUACUCUACAUGCAGUGCACAAGUUUGCUGCAGAGGAUACACUCCAAUAAGGUGCUGGGUGUUUCCUACAUGAAAUUAGGCAUGUGAUGACUAGAGGCUUGAUGAAUCUUCUCUGUACAGGUGUCCUGGCUCCAGAAUGUGUACCUUAGGGCCAGGUACCUGAUGCAUAUAUUUUUAUAUUUGAAAAGGAAGGCUAGUGCGGCUCUACACCUCCCCAGCUUUCUGAGUUCCUGUUCAUUUUGAAGCCAUUUCCCAUACAAAAUAGCACAUUUUCCCAGACUGCGAUCUCUUGCGGUGCUCCAAAACAUGCAUUUUAGGGUGCCUUACCCCCCAAAAGCACUUGGGGGGCGGGAACUACAGCAUGAAAUCACGCAAGAUCACAGUAACCAAAAUGGCUGGCAUGCUCUUUCGAUGCAAAAUGGGGUCUCCCAGUUUUUACAGGACACUUGUGGGAAAUUCCAUAGUUUAUGCACUGUAUGAAGAAGUACUAUCUCAUAAGGCAAUGAAAAGCCAUCUCCCUGACUUGGCUGUGAAUGACUUUCUCCAAAAUUCUCACAGCCAGGUAUGUGUUUAUAAUUAUAUAAACACUGCUGAUUUCAACGGACUGGGCUAUAUUUAACAAAUUACAAAACGAUACAGAUAUAUUUAUACACCAGCCCACAGGAAAUUCUCUCUUGAUAUAUUGUGGCCUGGUUCAUACACCUGGUAGGUCCCAGACAAUCAUUCAUGGAAUAGCUUGUGGCUGUUGAUAAGACUGCAGCCCAGUGUGUAUCAUAGGUGCCAACUCUAUGAACUGCUUUGGAUUCUACAUUUUAUCGUUGUUUGGUGUACAAGUUGUCAUGUGACCUCAGUGCUUCUGGAUAGGGAAGCUUGUAAAUCUAAUUGAUAAUUCAUUAGAUCAUCAACUGCUGGGUUAAAUGGGCUCAUAAAGACCACUCAAGUUUUGUUUUUUUUAGUCUGCAUAAAUAGGCUACUUAAAAAACAACCUUGAAUAUUCGACUUAUUUGCUAGUCUUGCUUGGAACCAAUUAUGCACUGUGGAUCUUCCUUUCUUUCAGAAAUGAGAAAGCAACUGUUACAAACAUGUCACACGACUAGCGCUGUCUAGAGAUUCAAAACUGUAGUGAUGAACUGAUUCACCCUAGAGAUUACAGGCUCUGCUAACAGGGUUGGAAUGUUUUUCUUCCAUGAGCCACUGCGAGCAGGAGACACUAAAAAGAAGUGUUUGGGCAGGGGUAUAAAAUGUGGACAGGGGGGAAUGGCUCUACUGCCACAUCAGGUAUAUGUCGAACUCUUACUAAAAGUAUUCUUUAUUGCCUGCCCCACACAUUGUGUGUUUUCUAGGCCUGUCAUGAUUUAGAAAGCUCCUGCAGGGCUCCUGUACUUCCCAAGAGGUUGUGCAAUAGAGUGCGUUGUCCAAAAUAAUUAUCUGUAACCACCAUUUUACCUGAGGCCGUAUGUCAUUCUCUGCUCACUAGGUACUUGGAGACUGUGUCUAAUUUGGACCUGAAGGCAGGCGAACGUGAAUAAUACUUACAGAGAUAAAACAGGAUGAAAGCCACCGUGGAACUAAUUUAUUAGUUUUAAAGGACAUCAGCCAAAGAAACUGUAGUAAGUCCUUUGUUAUUUAUUCCAAGGACUUUAAUGUUUCCCUGUGUUGGAUUUCUUAGCUUUUUUGUUUUUGUUUCUUUUAACAGGGAAUUAUGAAUAUAUUUAGUAGCUUUAAAAUAUUCCUGCAAAAAGUUAGACCUUACAAUGUACUUGUGUUAAAUUCUACAUUAUCGUGUGAUCUUGCAUCAGUGGAAUUGGCUACAAGUGGAUUUACAACAGAAAAAAAGUUGUGGGAUCAGGAGAUGAACCAAACCCUACAGGCAACCUAUUUCAAUGCCUUGUCUAGUACCUCUAAAAAGCAGACAUGCCUCCCUCGUGCAUAAUAAGAAAUGAGAAAUUAACCACUAAAAUAAAUUCCAUUAGUCACGCUGUCCCCUUAUCAUUAAACCAUGUAAUCACAUAAUGUUAACUUACACCCUAAAUCAUUCUGAAAAUAUUUGUUACAAUUCAGGAGUGUCUAAAAGGGACGUGGGUGGCGCUGUGGGUUAAACCACAGAGCCUAGGACUUGCCGAUCAGAAAGUCGGCGGUUUGAAUCCCCGCGGCGGGGUGAGCUCCCGUUGCUUGGUCCCUGCUCCUGCCAACCAAGCAGUUCGAAAGCACGUCAAAGUGCAAGUAGAUAAAUAGGUACCGCUCCGGCGGGAAGGUAAACGGCAUUUCCGUGCGCUGCUCUGGUUCGCCAGAAGCGGCUUAGUCAUGCUGGCCACAUGACCCAGAAGCUGUACACCAGCUCCCUCGGCCAAUAAAGCGAGAUGAGCGCCGCAACCCCAGAGUCAGACACGACUGGACCUAAUGGUCAGAGGUCCCUUUACCUUUACCUUUUAAUGGGUGCAGGUGCUCUGAUGGGCACAACUAAGGAUACAGAAUCCAAGGCCACUUCAGUCACUUUAAUGGAGGAAAGUAGAUAUUUUGAAUAAAAUAGGCCAGAUCGCACACAAGAGAGGUGGAAACAGUGGGGAAACGUCACGAUGAAAACAGCUUUUUGGAUCAAGACAAAUGCCACUGAAAUGUGAAACAGAGUGAAAUCAGCAGAACCACUUCAAAAUAAUGUGUUUAGGUUAAGGAUCCGUUGCUCCACAUGAUGUUGGCUACACCACUUAGCCAUUCAGGCAUACUGUGGUCUUCAAGAGAUUCUUUGCGUGCCUUUUGUUUGAAAAUUACCUUGAAAAUUAUGUUUGUCUCUCAAAAGCCACUGCAAAAAUAUGACAGCUACAAGAACAAUAAUUGCAAGGUGCAGUCAUUGCUUUAGGAGUCAUUACCUUUCAAGUAAAUGUUGGCUCACAUCCUUUAAUACACAUAGUGAAGCCUUAAACUCUCAUGGGUCAUCCUUAUGGCUCUCCACUGAGGCAGCAGCCUAUUGGAUUAGGAACUCUUAGCAGUCCUUCAUAAGCAGCUGCUGCCUGCCCCCAUGGAAGGGUCAAUUAAUGCUGCACAAGCACACUUAUGCCAUUGAUUCAGGGACAGGGAGAGAGAGAGAGAGAGAGAGAGAGAGAGGGAGCGAGAGAGAGAGCAGGGUCUUGGAUUAUGGCAGCAAAGAAGGUUACUCGCAAACCAAGCAAACUUGGCAGGAACAUGAUGAGAAUUUAGCUGCAAAACCGCCAGCAACUGCAGCUGUAAAUAAAACUGAUUCACUGGCUGGAGCUGUGAACCUGUUGCGGUGGCCAGCACAAUUCUGAUAUCCCAAUAACAAAAGUCCAAUCAAUGUAACUAUAAAUAAAGAUAUCUGUCAGGCCCUGGAUGAACAUGGAUGGUCACUUGCAAAGCAUUAAUUUAAAACACAGUAUAUAUAUCAUUGUGGGAAGAGCCAGUUCUCUGCUGUGUCCACCCAUUGAGGGAAAUUCUAACACCUCUCAGAUGGAUACAGAUAUGUGGUAAAUUUCUCCUCGCUGCCUGGGUUCUCUGCGUGGUUUGCCUUCUGCGGUAAAGUACUUCUUGGCAAAUUGUUAGUAUUCACCCUUAAUUAAUCUGUAUUUUCUCUUGGUAAUAGUAAUUCCUAAUACUUACUACUCACAUAUUGCUUUUAAUAGGCACUCUACACUUUUCACUCACAUAAGUUUAGUCCCAGAAACAUCCCUGUAUUUAUUUAUUUGCAUAAUUCAUAUUUCACAUUCUCAUGACAGAUUUAUGUCCCCAGGGCACUUAGAAGAUAGUGAGAAACCAAAAGUAAAAAAUUAUAAGCUACUACUGAUAGAAUGAAAAUGCAAACUAUUGCAGCAAAUUAAAACAGCUGCUCUGCGUUAAAUAAUGCUUACAUUAACAAUUAAUAAAAGCCUGGGAGUUUGUUUUUUAAAAAUGUUUCUCUGGUGCCUAAAUGACAGUAAUGAGGUCUCUAGGUGAGUCUUGGGGUGUGUGUGUGUGUGUGAGAGAGAGUAUUUUCCAAAAGUGAGGAGCCACCACAGGAAAGGCUCUCUCCAGGCAUCACCUACUGAACUUAAGAGGGAGGGAGCACCCAGAGGAAGGAGGCCUCAGAUGCCUCUCUUAAUGGACAGGCAGAUUGAUAGGGAAGAAGGCAGUCCAGCAACUAUAUGGUACGGUAGACUAUAUGGUACGGUAGACAUUAUUAUUAUCACCUCCAUAUUACAGAUGAGAGCAGCAAGACAGAGGUUGCCAGUGAGGUCAUGCCUAAAGCCAGGUCUGAACAAGUGCCUAUUCUUAAUCUAACUGCACACAUUAGCUUGCAGUUUUCUCCAAUUUAUUUACUGAGCUACAUAGACCAAUGGACUCAGUAUAAGGCGGCAUUGUAUGCUCCUUCCUACGUAAUUUUAAAGCUAAAAAUAGGUAUAUAUAAACAAGUUGCUAUACAUCAGUAGAAAAAUGCUAUGAAAGCCAUUCAGUGAAAUUUGUGGCUUCUGGGCAGCAAACCAACAUACUAAUGCCUACAGGGCUUCACAAUUCUUGGAUGAAUUUUAUGGGUCACCAGACAGGAUAAGGCUUUCUGAACUAAGUUCUUAACAACCGUAUUUCAUUUUACCUCAUUAUUUUGUCUUGCAUAUUAUCAUGUGCUAUCUAAGCCAUCCUCCCCACCCAAAAUCCUAAAAUAUCUCAUGCCAGCAACUUAGAAGUAUGUAGAAUUUGUACAGAUUAGAAAAAGGCUCACCCACAGAAAGGUAUACUGAGAAGUUGGAAAUAGUUGUUGGGGUUGUAAUGUACACUGAGGUUCACUAGGGUGCCAUCUGUGUGAGCUGGGGAUGUCAUGUGAAUGGAAUGAAAUUAUUUACUGUGUUUUGAAAUACUUUUCUUACAGAUAAUUUCGACGACUUUCCUACCUGAGGAGAAGUGUGUCUUCACUAUGUGGUUGUUGGGGUUUUUUUCUUUCCUGUGGUGUGUGUGUGUGUGUGUGUGUGUGUGUAUGUAUAGCAGCUGGUGUGUAACUAGCUGGUUCUCUGUUAAGUAGCAUUCCCAUCCUUCAUUUUCAUUCUCUUGCUCGAAGUCACAACCUCCCAAAGCUGCUUUUUCUUUAAAAACACAACAUAAAUCUGCACACCACGCAUAGUUUGUCUUUGACAUAUACACACAGUAAAUAUGUACCCCCCAAAAAAAUCCUCACUCAUUGUUUCCCACACAGAAACUGUAAUAUUAUUUAUUAGGUGAUUUAAAUAAGAGGUCAAUUAAUGAGCUUACUGAAUGCCCUAUUUAUAUACUAUAGUCUCCAAGUUGUGAAUUAUAAAGUUAGAAGAUGCAACAAAUCUAAAAACUGGUUUGAAGUCCAUAUUGUGCUAUCGGUUUCAUAAUUUUUGAUCUGGCAAUAUAUUGCAAAUCUUGAUAUGUAUGUGUGUGUCCUAUGCAACAAUCAUGAUGCAGGAAAAACUGGGAAGCCGGCCAAUGCCUCUACAUAGCUCCAUCCUUAUUUCUGACAUUGUGAUAUAUCAGUACAAUGUUUACCUGUUGAUAAAUUGUGAUGUUGAAAACUGGAUAUUGCCCAGCCCAUAACUCAGUAUCUAUGCCAACCAGGAAUCACCAACGUGGCACCUACGGGUGCACAUACACCCAUGAAGGCCUUCUCUUGCACCCUCAUGAAUUAGAUUUGGGGGAAAAACAUUCUGUUGUAGC
Molecule: non-coding RNA, 41025 nt
Organism: Podarcis lilfordi (Lilford's wall lizard)
Lineage: Eukaryota; Metazoa; Chordata; Lepidosauria; Squamata; Lacertidae
Source: the annotation of a GenBank genome assembly